This 606-nucleotide ribosomal RNA is filed under the name cf. Trichoderma sp. 161/LC3. Its description in RNAcentral is "eukaryotic LSU rRNA". The stretch from base 219 to 372 matches the Rfam family "5.8S ribosomal RNA". The record is from RNAcentral. Lineage: Eukaryota; Fungi; Ascomycota; Sordariomycetes; Hypocreales; Hypocreaceae.
AUAUCAAANUAUCAAUAAGCGGAGGAACAACUCCAAACCCAAUGUGAACGUUACCAAACUGUUGCCUCGGCGGGAACUCAUGCCCCGGGUGCGUCGCAGCCCCGGACCAAGGCGCCCGCCGGAGGACCAACCAAAACUCUUUUUGUAUACCCCCUCGCGGGUUUUUUAUAAUCUGAGCCUUCUCGGCGCCUCUCGUAGGCGUUUCGAAAAUGAAUCAAAACUUUCAACAACGGAUCUCUUGGUUCUGGCAUCGAUGAAGAACGCAGCGAAAUGCGAUAAGUAAUGUGAAUUGCAGAAUUCAGUGAAUCAUCGAAUCUUUGAACGCACAUUGCGCCCGCCAGUAUUCUGGCGGGCAUGCCUGUCCGAGCGUCAUUUCAACCCUCGAACCCCUCCGGGGGGUCGGCGUUGGGGAUCGGCCUUCCUUCACGGGGGCCGUCUCCGAAAUACAGUGGCGGUCUCGCCGCAGCCUCUCCUGCGCAGUAGUUUGCACACUCGCAUCGGGAGCGCGGCGCGUCCACAGCCGUUAAACACCCAACUUCUGAAAUGUUGACCUCGGAUCAGGUAGGAAUACCCGCUGAACUUAAGCAUAUCAAUAANGGGNGGGAA